Molecule: ribosomal RNA, 397 nt
Filed under: uncultured bacterium
Lineage: Bacteria
Description: partial 16S ribosomal RNA
Rfam family: Bacterial small subunit ribosomal RNA
Source: RNAcentral
AUACGUAGGGGGCGAGCGUUGUCCGGAAUGAUUGGGCGUAAAGGGCGCGUAGGCGGCGCGGUAAGUCUGGAGUGAAAGUCCUGCUUUCAAGGUGGGAAUUGCUUUGGAUACUGCCGCGCUUGAGUGCAGGAGAGGUUAUCGGAAUUCCCGGUGUAGCGGUGAGAUGCGUAGAGAUCGGGAGGAACACCAGUGGCGAAGGCGGGUAACUGGACUGCAACUGACACUGAGGCGCGAAAGUGUGGGGAGCAAACAGGAUUAGAUACCCUGGUAGUCCACACUGUAAACGAUGAAUGCUAGGUGUAAGAGGUAUCGACCCCUUUUGUGCCGGAGUCAACACAAUAAGCAUUCCGCCUGGGGAGUACGGCCGCAAGGUUGAAACUCAAAGGAAUUGACGGGG